This 251-nucleotide long non-coding RNA is filed under the name Vigna radiata. RNAcentral describes it as "long non-coding RNA (VRAD_LNC012157)". The record is from RNAcentral. Lineage: Eukaryota; Viridiplantae; Streptophyta; Magnoliopsida; Fabales; Fabaceae.
AGGAUAAUUGUGUUGUUCGGGUUUCUGACUUAUCCUAUCCACUCUCUUGUAUUUAUGAAUUAAACUCAUUCAUUAAUGUUAAUGUCACUUUCUAAGUUACUUUAAACUUGAUGUCUCGGUGAAGAAAGCCUACUCCUAAUUACUAGUUCAUAAUGUCUUAUAUACCUAGCAACUAAUCAUGCAUUACAUUCGCACAGAAGCUUAAAGGCAAUCAAUCCUCUUAUUCCUAUGUGUAGGUAAUAUUGCUCCCG